GCAGGGGAUCGCAAGACCUUGCGCUGAUUGAGCGGCCGAUAUCAGAUUAGCUAGUUGGUGAGGUAAAGGCUCACCAAGGCGACGAUCUGUAGCGGGUCUGAGAGGAUGAUCCGCCACACUGGAACUGAGACACGGUCCAGACUCCUACGGGAGGCAGCAGUGGGGAAUUUUGGACAAUGGGGGCAACCCUGAUCCAGCCAUGCCGCGUGAGUGAAGAAGGCCUUCGGGUUGUAAAGCUCUUUCGGCCGGGAAGAAAUCGUAUGGGUUAAUACCCUGUGCGGAUGACGGUACCGGCAUAAGAAGCACCGGCUAACUACGUGCCAGCAGCCGCGGUAAUACGUAGGGUGCGAGCGUUAAUCGGAAUUACUGGGCGUAAAGCGUGCGCAGGCGGUUUUGUAAGGCAGGCGUGAAAUCCCCGGGCUCAACCUGGGAACUGCGCUUGUGACUGCAAGGCUAGAGUACGGCAGAGGGGGGUGGAAUUCCACGUGUAGCAGUGAAAUGCGUAGAGAUGUGGAGGAACACCAAUGGCGAAGGCAGCCCCCUGGGUCGAUACUGACGCUCAUGCACGAAAGCGUGGGUAUCAAACAGGAUUAGAUACCCUGGUAGUCCACGCCCUAAACGAUGUCAACUAGGUGUUGGGUGGGUAAAACCAUUUAGUACCGGAGCUAACGCGUGAAGUUGACCGCCUGGGGAGUACGGCCGCAAGGUUAAAACUCAAAGGAAUUGACGGGGACCCGCACAAGCGGUGGAUGAUGUGGAUUAAUUCGAUGCAACGCGAAAAACCUUACCUACCCUUGACAUGUCCAGGAGCCUGAAGAGAUUUGGGUGUGCCCGAAAGGGAACUGGAACACAGGUGCUGCAUGGCUGUCGUCAGCUCGUGUCGUGAGAUGUUGGGUUAAGUCCCGCAACGAGCGCAACCCUUGUCGUUAAUUGCCAUCAUUUAGUUGGGCACUUUAACGAGACUGCCGGUGACAAACCGGAGGAAGGUGGGGAUGACGUCAAGUCCUCAUGGCCCUUAUGGGUAGGGCUUCACACGUCAUACAAUGGUCGGUACAAAGGGUCGCCAACCCGCGAGGGGGAGCCAAUCCCAGAAAGCCGAUCGUAGUCCGGAUCGUAGGCUGCAACUCGCCUGCGUGAAGUCGGAAUCGCUAGUAAUCGUGGAUCAGCAUGUCACGGUGAAUACGUUCCCGGGUCUUGUACACACCGCCCGUCACACCAUGGGAGCGGGUUCCGCCAGAAGUAGGUAGCCUAACCGCAAGGGGGGCGCUUACCACGG
This 1276-nucleotide ribosomal RNA is filed under the name metagenome. RNAcentral's name for it is "bacterial SSU rRNA". It matches the Rfam family "Bacterial small subunit ribosomal RNA", at positions 196 to 1462 of the family's 1533-position model. The record is from RNAcentral.